RNAcentral lists this ribosomal RNA (429 nucleotides) under bacterium. RNAcentral's name for it is "partial 16S ribosomal RNA". It matches the Rfam family "Bacterial small subunit ribosomal RNA", at positions 355 to 776 of the family's 1533-position model. The record is from RNAcentral.
UAGGGAAUCUUCCACAAUGGACGCAAGUCUGAUGGAGCAACGCCGCGUGAGUGAAGAAGGUUUUCGGAUCGUAAAGCUCUGUUGUUGGUGAAGAAGGAUAGAGGCAGUAACUGGUCUUUAUUUGACGGUAAUCAACCAGAAAGUCACGGCUAACUACGUGCCAGCAGCCGCGGUAAUACGUAGGUGGCAAGCGUUGUCCGGAUUUAUUGGGCGUAAAGCGAGCGCAGGCGGAAUGAUAAGUCUGAUGUGAAAGCCAACGGCUCAACCGUGGAACUGCAUCGGAAACUGUCAUUCUUGAGUGCAGAAGAGGAGGGUGGAAUUCCAUGUGUAGCGGUGGAAUGCGUAGAUAUAUGGAAGAACACCAGUGGCGAAGGCGGCUCUCUGGUCUGCAACUGACGCUGAGGCUCGAAAGCAUGGGUAGCGAACAGG